This 62-nucleotide transfer RNA is filed under the name Marphysa tamurai. RNAcentral describes it as "tRNA-Ala". Lineage: Eukaryota; Metazoa; Annelida; Polychaeta; Eunicida; Eunicidae. The record is from RNAcentral.
GCCACCCUAGUAUAUAUAGUACCUGUAGUUUGCAUCUACAUAGAGACCAAAGUCGAGUGACA